CAAUAGCGUAUAUUAAAGUUGUUGCAGUUAAAAAGCUCGUAGUUGAAUUUUUGCUUGCCACCGAUGUCGGAACUUCCGUACGUUCGGCGGCGUGCAUCCUUGGGUGGAACCUGUGUGGCAUUAGGUUGUCGUGCAGGGGAUGCUCAUCGUUUACUGUGAAAAAAUUAGAGUGUUCAAAGCAGGCUUACGCCGUUGAAUAUAUUAGCAUGGAAUAAUAAGAUAGGACCUUGGUACUAUUUUGUUGGUUUGCGCACCGAGGUAAUGAUUAACAGGGACAGUUGGGGGUAUUCGUAUUCCAUUGUCAGAGGUGAAAUUCUUGGAUUUCUGGAAGACGAACUACUGCGAAAGCAUUUACCAAGGAUGUUUUCAUUAA
RNAcentral lists this ribosomal RNA (373 nucleotides) under uncultured eukaryote. Its description in RNAcentral is "partial 18S ribosomal RNA". It matches the Rfam family "Eukaryotic small subunit ribosomal RNA", at positions 592 to 976 of the family's 1831-position model. The record is from RNAcentral.